GGUCUUAUAGUAUAAAAAUAAUAUUAAAUUGCAAGUUUAAAGAUGUGUAAAUCACUGAGGCUU
Molecule: transfer RNA, 63 nt
Filed under: Cyclograpsus granulosus
Lineage: Eukaryota; Metazoa; Arthropoda; Malacostraca; Decapoda; Varunidae
Description: tRNA-Cys
Source: RNAcentral